CAAUUCAAUAAUUGCUUCUAUUAUCAAUAAUUGUCCUGCUUUAUAACUUAAGCUUUUCAAAAAUUCGAAUAUCAUUAAUAUUGCGGCAAUGAUGACAUAGAUCAUAUGCUGUAAUCGAUAAAUAUAUGUAUAUGUGUAAUAUAAAUAUAUGUAAAUAUAUGUGCACACAUACAUACGCACGCACACACGCACGCACGCACGCACGCACAACGUAAGAAGUACAAAAUAUGAAUUCGGGCGUGUGCUGAAGAAAGAAAAAAGAAAAAUAACACGAGAAAGAAAUAGAAGGUUCGGGGAAAAGAUGAGGCUCCACUCAACCAAAGAUUACACAAUCCCCGCCUCAACCUAACCUUUCUUCCCCACCUCUGUUAUGCGCGCGCGUGAACAACGAAGGUAGGAGUCGAAUACGCGAGUAAGGCAAGUUAAGGCAGGUAAAGCAAACAGGCAAGGCAGACAGGCAGGCAAGCAGGCAAGCAGACAGGCAGGCAAGCAAGCAGCCGACCAGCAGGGCACAAUCUGUUGAAGAAUUGACAGGACCUACUCAAAAGUUUAAAAUACCCUAUUGGACCGUUAAACACGAACCUGAUCCACGUGGCGGACAGAUGCAAAAGAUACGGCGGCGGUUUUUGAAUUUGAAGUCGUAAAAGGAAUAUUUUCGUUACUUUUAAUGCUAUCUACAGCUUCGAUAUAUAAAAUUCUCGAUAUAUUA
Molecule: long non-coding RNA, 709 nt
Organism: Apis mellifera (honey bee)
Lineage: Eukaryota; Metazoa; Arthropoda; Insecta; Hymenoptera; Apidae
Exons: 2
Source: RefSeq, a predicted model, not a curated record